Molecule: ribosomal RNA, 302 nt
Filed under: uncultured bacterium
Lineage: Bacteria
Description: partial 16S ribosomal RNA
Rfam family: Bacterial small subunit ribosomal RNA
Source: RNAcentral
GCAGUAGCCGCGGUAAUACGAAGGGGGCUAGCGUUGCUCGGAAUGACUGGGCGUAAAGGGCGCGUAGGCGGUUUGCACAGUCGGGUGUGAAAUUCCUGGGCUUAACCUGGGGGCUGCAUUCGAGACGUGUAGGCUUGAGUGGGGAAGAGGGUCGUGGAAUUCCCAGUGUAGAGGUGAAAUUCGUAGAUAUUGGGAAGAACACCGGUGGCGAAGGCGGCGACCUGGUCCUUUACUGACGCUGAGGCGCGAAAGCGUGGGGAGCAAACAGGAUUAGAUACCCCCGUAGUCCCUGUCUCUUAUAC